GAUGAAGAACGUAGCGAAAUGCGAUACUUGGGGUGAAUUGCAGAAUCCCGUGAACCAUCGAGUCUUUGAACGCAAGUUGCGCCCGAAGCCAUUAGGCCGAGGGCACGCCUGCCUGGGCGUCACACGUCGUUGCCCCCCCAUCUACUCCUUCGGGAUUGCGGGGGGCGGAUGUUGGCCUCCCGUGCGCCUCGUCGCGCGGUUGGCAUAAAUGCCAAGUCCUCGGCGACGCACGCCACGACAAUCGGUGGUUGCGAAACCUCGGUUGCCCGUCGUGUGCGGUCGUCGCGCAUCGAGGGCUCGAAAAAAUUGUCGGGCUCCGGCUCGGCUUUCAACGCGACCCCAGGUCAGGCGGGGUUACCCGCUGAAUUUAAGCAUAUCAAUAAGCGGAGGA
RNAcentral lists this unclassified non-coding RNA (391 nucleotides) under soil metagenome. RNAcentral describes it as "partial contains 5.8S ribosomal RNA, internal transcribed spacer 2, and large subunit ribosomal RNA". The stretch from base 1 to 122 matches the Rfam family "5.8S ribosomal RNA", at positions 35 to 154 of the family's 154-position model. The record is from RNAcentral.